CAUCAUCCUCCAGGAAGUGACAUCAUUAUGGAGGGAAAUCAGCAGCACACACAUUAAUGCUUGACGUAUUUUAUAGGCACGGUGUUUGGCUCUCCUCAUCAUGGUCAAGUUUAAAAGCAUCGAGCGUUUCCUCAAACCACGCCAGAACCGCAUGACUUUGGCACGCUGACUCUUGGGACAAAUGUUGUAAUGGCUGUUCUUUGAGCGGCAGAGUGAAGUAACAAACACCUGACCGCAUUUUCCCUGUUGUUCAGCCUCUGGUGGAAACUACAGACUUCAUCUCUGUUUCGUUCACUGCAGCACACAAGUAUCUGAGCGCUCUCAAUGACCUGUCCAAGCCUGUUUUCUAGAGCCGGUUGUUUUGCCUACCACUCUGCUUUCUCAAAUGACGUCAGCUUCCUUGAGUUCCCUGAGUGUAACACUAAAUUUACGAGUAUGUUGUGCAACCACAAAUUCUUCCGCUUGAUAAAAGACGAUGGGGAAACUGUAGCCCGGGGACUGUUUCUGUACAGUCGAACAACAGAUAUGUUUUAGUGCUGUCAGGGACACCUUGUUAUGAUCGCCCUUUGACUUAAUUCAAUGAGUUCCCCGCAAACUGAAAAAAAAAAAAAAAAAAAAA
Molecule: long non-coding RNA, 619 nt
Organism: Cyprinus carpio carpio
Lineage: Eukaryota; Metazoa; Chordata; Actinopteri; Cypriniformes; Cyprinidae
Source: Ensembl